UACCGACCAAACAAAAUCUUUAUCAGUACUGGUAUUCAUUUUUACGACAUUCACCAUUACAGUAUCCAAUUUAUAUAUUUUAUCAUUUUACCGGUCCGGUACGAAAUUAAAAGUUAGACUAAAUCAAAGUCAACGUCAAAGUCAAAACUAAAGAAUCAAGAAACACAAACCUAUAGAGAUACAAGGUCUUGGCUGGUGGGUGGAGGAGAAUUUGGCAGAUCCGGCGACGGCAGAAGCAGCGGUGGUGGGUGGUUUCUGGCGGCGGAAGGCGAGAAGGAUGACGGUGCCGGAGACGGCAGCCAUCGCCGUCGCUAACACCAUCCCAUUUGAAGCAAAAAUUGAAGAUGACGUCAUCAAAUUGUGUCAAAUUGUUGAGUGAUUUUAAAUUGAUUGAAGUUUUUGGAUGUUUGAAGUGAAGAAAGAAGUUGGGUUUCGAUGGAUCUUGUAAAUGUGUGUGGAGUUUUUAAAUAAAAAGGGGGAAAAUGUGGUUGGUUGAAGACUUGAAGCAUCAUGUUUCUUUUUCAUUAUAUAUUUUUUUAUUGUUAAAGUUCAAUUAUUUUGUUUUAGUUUAUUAAUUUGUUAUUAACUAAAUGUAACGGACAACCUUUAUCCAACUGCUUAUU
Molecule: long non-coding RNA, 623 nt
Filed under: Helianthus annuus (common sunflower)
Lineage: Eukaryota; Viridiplantae; Streptophyta; Magnoliopsida; Asterales; Asteraceae
Description: hypothetical non coding rna
Source: RNAcentral